RNAcentral lists this ribosomal RNA (251 nucleotides) under uncultured prokaryote. Its description in RNAcentral is "partial 16S rRNA". It matches the Rfam family "Bacterial small subunit ribosomal RNA", at positions 525 to 775 of the family's 1533-position model. The record is from RNAcentral.
ACGUAGGUGGCGAGCGUUGUCCGGAAUUACUGGGCGUAAAGGGCGCGUAGGCGGUUUUUUAAGUUAGAUGUGAAAACCCAGGGCUUAACUUUGGGCGUGCAUUUAAAACUAGAGAACUUGAGUGCAGGAGAGGUAAGUGGAAUUCCUAGUGUAGCGGUGAAAUGCGUAGAUAUUAGGAGGAACACCAGUGGCGAAGGCGACUUACUGGACUGUAACUGACGCUUAGGCGCGAAAGCGUGUGUAGCAAACAG